Molecule: transfer RNA, 82 nt
Filed under: Flueggea virosa
Lineage: Eukaryota; Viridiplantae; Streptophyta; Magnoliopsida; Malpighiales; Phyllanthaceae
Description: tRNA-Leu
Rfam family: tRNA
About the family: Transfer RNA (tRNA) molecules are approximately 80 nucleotides in length. Their secondary structure includes four short double-helical elements and three loops (D, anti-codon, and T loops).
Source: RNAcentral
GGGGAUAUGGCGAAAUUGGUAGACGCUACGGACUUAAAAUCCGUCGACUUUAGAAAUCGUGAGGGUUCAAGUCCCUCUAUCC